RNAcentral lists this microRNA precursor (142 nucleotides) under Pelobates cultripes (western spadefoot toad). The record is from RNAcentral. Lineage: Eukaryota; Metazoa; Chordata; Amphibia; Anura; Pelobatidae.
CUAAAGCUAACCCCACUAGAGGAUUCCUAAAAGAACAUCAGAAAGAAAAAUAAAAAGGUAUCUAGCCGUUAUUUAUUUAUCAUACCUAUUUAUUUUUCUUUCUGAUGUUCUUUUAGGAAUCCUCUAGUGGGGUUAGCUUUAG